AUGAACGCUGGCGGCGUGCCUAAUACAUGCAAGUCGAGCGAAUAGAUUAAGAGCUUGCUCUUAUGAAGUUAGCGGCGGACGGGUGAGUAACACGUGGGUAACCUGCCCAUAAGACUGGGAUAACUCCGGGAAACCGGGGCUAAUACCGGAUAACAUUUUGAACCGCAUGGUUCGAAAUUGAAAGGCGGCUUUGGCUGUCACUUAUGGAUGGACCCGCGUCGCAUUAGCUAGUUGGUGAGGUAACGGCUCACCAAGGCAACGAUGCGUAGCCGACCUGAGAGGGUGAUCGGCCACACUGGGACUGAGACACGGCCCAGACUCCUACGGGAGGCAGCAGUAGGGAAUCUUCCGCAAUGGACGAAAGUCUGACGGAGCAACGCCGCAUGAGUGAUGAAGGCUUUCGGGUCGUAAAACUCUGUUGUUAGGGAAGAACAAGUGCUAGUUGAAUAAGCUGGCACCUUGACGGUACCUAACCAGAAAGCCACGGCUAACUACGUG
Molecule: ribosomal RNA, 498 nt
Filed under: uncultured bacterium
Lineage: Bacteria
Description: bacterial SSU rRNA
Rfam family: Bacterial small subunit ribosomal RNA
Source: RNAcentral